RNAcentral lists this ribosomal RNA (727 nucleotides) under uncultured bacterium. RNAcentral's name for it is "bacterial SSU rRNA". It matches the Rfam family "Bacterial small subunit ribosomal RNA", at positions 28 to 748 of the family's 1533-position model. The record is from RNAcentral.
UAUGAAAGCCUGGCCGGCAGGCCUAACACAUGCAAGUCGAGCGGUAGAGAGAAGCUUGCUUCUCUUGAGAGCGGCGGACGGGUGAGUAAUGCCUAGGAAUCUGCCUGGUAGUGGGGGAUAACGUUCGGAAACGAACGCUAAUACCGCAUACGUCCUACGGGAGAAAGCAGGGGACCUUCGGGCCUUGCGCUAUCAGAUGAGCCUAGGUCGGAUUAGCUAGUUGGUGAGGUAAUGGCUCACCAAGGCGACGAUCCGUAACUGGUCUGAGAGGAUGAUCAGUCACACUGGAACUGAGACACGGUCCAGACUCCUACGGGAGGCAGCAGUGGGGAAUAUUGGACAAUGGGCGAAAGCCUGAUCCAGCCAUGCCGCGUGUGUGAAGAAGGUCUUCGGAUUGUAAAGCACUUUAAGUUGGGAGGAAGGGCAUUAACCUAAUACGUUAGUGUUUUGACGUUACCGACAGAAUAAGCACCGGCUAACUCUGUGCCAGCAGCCGCGGUAAUACAGAGGGUGCAAGCGUUAAUCGGAAUUACUGGGCGUAAAGCGCGCGUAGGUGGUUUGUUAAGUUGGAUGUGAAAUCCCCGGGCUCAACCUGGGAACUGCAUUCAAAACUGACUGACUAGAGUAUGGUAGAGGGUGGUGGAAUUUCCUGUGUAGCGGUGAUAUGCGUACAUAUAGGAAGGAACAUCAGUGGCGAAGGCGACCACCUGGACUACUACUGACACUG